Molecule: long non-coding RNA, 894 nt
Organism: Meriones unguiculatus (Mongolian gerbil)
Lineage: Eukaryota; Metazoa; Chordata; Mammalia; Rodentia; Muridae
Exons: 3
Source: RefSeq, a predicted model, not a curated record
UCUUAGAGGUUAAGAGGUGAAAACAAGCCGCUUCGGAGAUUGGAGCAUGUGUGAGGCGGGGCUUUUCUGAGUAGCCACAGGGCUCUGGCAGCCGGGAUCUAACUGUGGAGAUGGCCCUCAGAUGAAACAGCAAGCCGGCUGACCUUCAAACCCACGUCAUACCAUGUCUCACUGGACCCCGUGGGAAAAGGGAAGGGUCGCUAAAGGAGACUCCGAGUGAAUGGGAACUAUCAGAUCCUGGAGUCCACCUCUUCUCAGCCUGAUCCUUCAACUCUGAAGCUUGAAAUGGAACCACAUAAGUGUACUCACUGCACUAGCCAAAGCCACAGACCUCUGUCCUCUAAUAUCAAGCCUCUGUUCUGUUAUCACUAAACAGCACUGCAAAGUCUGUACGGCACCAAGAGUUUUCAGCUCACACACUCUGAGACAUCUUUUGCUUCUGUCAGCUAUCUAGAGGAACCGCCCUAACACAUGCCUGCUCUUCAGAAACCUACUGUUUUUUCUGACCACCAUGGGCAUAGAAAGGCCUGAGUUCGCCUAUUCUGUUUGAUAAAGACUUUUUUUUUGGAUGGAGUCCUACUCCCAGCAUUGGGGAAGAUUUGGGUCAUAUUGCCAUUUGGUGCUAGAUGAUCUGUGUUCGGGACUGUCCUACGCUUUGGAGGAUGUUGAAGCAGCACCAUGUGCCUGAGGCCAUAGAGAAGUCGGUAGCAUAAGGUGUUUCAAGAACUGACAGUGGUCCCCUAAAGGGCACAGUCAUCCUGGCUGGGAGCCACUACACUAACCAACUGCCUUCUCUCAGUUCCCGUAAGUUGGUUCCAGUAGCCCGAUGAGAGAAGCAGAGGGUUUGGGAAUUCAGGAUAACCAGCAGCAGAGGAAGCAUUAGGGUGGAAAGAA